Molecule: Y RNA, 98 nt
Filed under: Cavia aperea (Brazilian guinea pig)
Lineage: Eukaryota; Metazoa; Chordata; Mammalia; Rodentia; Caviidae
Description: Y RNA (ENSCAPG00000003892.1)
Rfam family: Y RNA
About the family: Y RNAs are components of the Ro ribonucleoprotein particle (Ro RNP), in association with Ro60 and La proteins. The Y RNAs and Ro60 and La proteins are well conserved, but the function of the Ro RNP is not known.
Source: RNAcentral
GGCUGGUCCGAUGGCAGUGGGUUAUCAGAACUUAUUAACAUUAGCGUCACUAAAGUUGGUAUACCACCCCCCCCACUGCUAAAUUUGUCUGGCUUUAA